UGGGGAAUAUUGCACAAUGGGCGAAAGCCUGAUGCAGCAACGCCGCGUGAGUGAUGAAGGUCUUCGGAUUGUAAAGCUCUGUCUUUUGGGACGAUAAUGACGGUACCAAAGGAGGAAGCCACGGCUAACUACGUGCCAGCAGCCGCGGUAAUACGUAGGUGGCGAGCGUUGUCCGGAUUUACUGGGCGUAAAGGGUGCGUAGGCGGAUGUUUAAGUGAGAUGUGAAAUACCCGGGCUUAACUUGGGUGCUGCAUUUCAAACUGGAUAUCUAGAGUGCAGGAGAGGAGAAUGGAAUUCCUAGUGUAGCGGUGAAAUGCGUAGAGAUUAGGAAGAACACCAGUGGCGAAGGCGAUUCUCUGGACUGUAACUGACGCUGAG
RNAcentral lists this ribosomal RNA (378 nucleotides) under uncultured bacterium. RNAcentral's name for it is "partial 16S ribosomal RNA". It matches the Rfam family "Bacterial small subunit ribosomal RNA", at positions 355 to 750 of the family's 1533-position model. The record is from RNAcentral.